UACAGAGGUCUCAAGCGUUGUUCGGAUUCAUUGGGAGUAAAGGGUGCGUAGGCGGCGCGGUAAGGCGGGUGUGAAAUCUCGGAGCUUAACUCCGAAACUGCAUUCGAUACUGCCGUGCUUGAGGACUGGAGAGGAGACUGGAAUUCCUGGUGUAGCGGUGAAAUGCGCAGAUAUCAGGAGGAACACCGGUGGCGAAGGCGGGUCUCUGGGCCGAUACUGACGCUGAGGAGCGAAAGCGUGGGGAGCGAACAGG
Molecule: ribosomal RNA, 253 nt
Filed under: uncultured bacterium
Lineage: Bacteria
Description: partial 16S ribosomal RNA
Rfam family: Bacterial small subunit ribosomal RNA
Source: RNAcentral